UGCUGACAAAACCCUCUGGCUGACUCAUGUAAACAUCUUCAGCCAACUUUCCAUUAAGGAAAGCGGUUUUGACAUCCAUCUGCCAUAUUUCAUAGUCAUGAAAUGCAGCUAUGGCUAACAGAACCCGAAUAGAGUUAAUCUUCGCUACUGGAGAAAAGGUCUCAUCAUAGUCCGCUCCAGGAAUUUAAGAGAAUCCCUUUGCAACCAGUCUAGCCUUAUAAGUGUGUACUUUACCAUCCAUGUCGGUCUUCUUCUUGAAGACCCAUUUGCACCCUACUGUCUUACGACCUGGUACAUUCUCAACCAAGUUCCAAACUUGAUUGUCAUACAUGGACUGUAUUUCGUUGUCCAUUGCCUCUUUCCACUUGGCUGACUCAGGGCCUGCCAUGGCUUCCGCGUAACUGUUAGGUUCAUCCAGACCUAUCAGUGUCUCAUCACUGAUAAGUGUAUCUCCUUCUGCAGUAAUAUGGAAUCCAUAGUAAUGCUCAGGAGCAUUCCUAACCCUUGUGGAACGCCUCAGAGGUACAGACUUGUCAAUUGGCUCAACAGGAGUUUCCUCCUCAAGUUGAGUGCUAGGGUUUGAAGUUCCUUCACCGCUUGACUCUUGAAUUUCUUCAAGAUCAACUUGCCUCCCACUGUUUCCUUGGCUUAUGAACUCUCUCUCUCUCUCUAUAGAAAGCCCUCCUAGCUACAAAGACCACAUUUUCACUAGGUCUGUAGAAGAGGUAACCAAAGGAUUGCUGUGGGUAGCCGAUGAAAAUACACCUCUCGCUUCGGGGUUCGAGCUUAUCAUGAGUCUCGCGUCUCACGAAAGCCUCGCAACCCCAAAUCUUGAUGUGGUCUAGUUUAGGUACUUUACCAGUCCACAUCUCGUGAGGAGUUUUGGCAACUUUCUUUGUAGGGACUAGAUUAAGGAUAUGGGCGGCAGUCUCUAAGGCAUACCCCCAGAAUGAGAUUGGUAGCGUAGCUCGACUCAUCAUGGAACGAACCAUAUCUAACAAGGUUCGAUUACGCCUCUCAGCCACACCAUUCAACUGUGGUGUCCUGGGAGGUGUCAAUUGUGAGACUAUCCCACAUUCCCUUAGAUAGUCGAGGAACUCUGAACUAAGAUACUCACCACCACGAUCGGAUCGAAGCAUCUUAAUGUUCCUGCCCAAUUGAUUCUCGACUUCCUGUUUAAAUUCCUUAAACCUCUCGAAAGUCUCUGACUUAUGCUUGAUCAAGUAGACAUAUCCAUAUCUACUAUAAUCAUCAGUAAAAGUCAAAUAAUAACGAUUAGCAUCCCUUGUGGCAUGUUUGAAUGGUCCACACACAUCCGUGUGUAUAAGGUCCAACAAACCUUCACCCCUCUCACACGAACCUGUGAAGGGUGACUUUGUCAUUUUUCCAAGUAAGCAUGAUUCGCAACUAUCAUCUGACUUUAGGUCAAACGACUCCAAGACUCCAUCCUUUUGGAGUUGGCCUAUGCGUUUCUUGCUUAUAUGUCCAAGACGACAAUGCCAUAAAGAUGCUUUAUCCAAGUUAUUAUUAGUAGAAUCAAUACACAAAACAUUAUUUCCCAAGUUAUCUACAACAGAUACAGCUUCAUACACACCAUCACAAGGUAAUGCUUUAAAAUAAAAGACAUUAUUAUAGAAAACAUCUAUAGAACCAACUUCAUUAUUAAAUGAAAAGGUAAACCCUUGUUUGUACAAAGCAUGAAAGGAAAUAAUAUUUCUUGCCAUUCCUGGCGAAUAACAACACUUAUUCAAAUCUAAACUAAACCCACUACUUAGCGAUAAAGUAUAAACUCCAAUCUUGGUAACAGGUAUAGCUUUCCUAUUCCCCAUGAUCAAGUUUAUCCUUCCUUGCUCCACAUCCUCACUUCUUCUUAGUCCCUGCAAGUCACAACAAAUGUGAAUACCACACCCGGUAUCAAGGACCCAAGAAUUAGAAUGGGGUGAGUUAUUAGAAAUGAUAGUGUAAAUACCUGCAUGGUUGGGUUUAACUUUCCCAUCCUUCACAUCUUGCUGGUAUUUUGGGCAGUUCCGCUUCCAAUGAGCUUUUUCAUGGCAAUAGAAGCAUUCAGCCUCUUUUGGGUCAGAAGAAGGAGUAAUGAAACCUUUCUUGGUUCCACUUGAAGAAGAGCCAUCAAGGGUCCGAGCCUUGGUACCCUUAGAAGAGCUCUUUCUCUUCCUCCCUCGACUUUUCCCGAUUGCCAAAACCGGAGUAGAGUUUUGAGUAGGAGUGAUAGCAACCGACUUCCCCUUAAGACCUGAUUCUGCGGUCUUGAGAAGUCCCUGAAGUUUGCUGAGGGUGACUUCUUCCUUGUUCAUGUGAUAUGUCAUGCGGAAUUGAUCAUAGCACGAUGGUAAGGAAUGCAAAAUAAUAUCUAUUGCAAGAUCCUCCGGGAAGUUCACAUUAAGCUUCAGCAAACGAUCCACAUACCUUUGCAUUUUCUGCAUGUGGCUCGUGACGGAUUCCCCGUCCUUCAUCAUGGUUGUUAUCAUGGAGCAGAUGAUUUCAUACCUCUCUUGUCUUGCACUUUGAUGGUAUCUUUCCAUCAAAUCUUGGUGCAUUUCAUAAGGGUAGAAAUCCUCAUAAGACUUUUGGAGUUCCGUUGUCAUUGUGGCCAUCAUGAUGCAUGCCACUUUUGUAGCAAGCCUUUCAUGUGCAUGAAAGUCAGCAAUCUCCUGUGGAGUUGCAGUGGUCUCAUCAAACUCCUUAAGCUCCUUGUCAAGGACAUAUUCUUUGUCCUCGUAGCGGGUAAUCAUCCUGAUGUUUCUGAUCCACUCAUUGAAGUUGGAUCCAUCAAAGGUGACUUUCCCACACAAGUUCAUAAGGGUAAAGGAGCCAUUAGGAUUAGAGCCAGAAGCAUUGUUGAAAGACAUCUGAAGGAAAGAGGACAAGAUUAGUUUAGAUAUAAGAGAGUCCUUAAUAAAACACCCAAAUGUAAUAUUAAGGCUAGGAUCCAAUCACAAUAUAAUAUAACUUAGAAGAGGUAUGCCGUAAUCUAAGCUAUAUCAUAUUUGAAAGGUAGGUGAAUGACGAUUCACCAAUUUCCACCACGAAAACCGCAAUAUUUUAGUAUUAGGUUUUUGAAUGGUUCUUAGAAAUUCCUAGAUUCUUUGAGAUUCAAUGAACUUUUCAAAGGCAUGUUUCAAUCUCGAGUGUGCCCUCCAAGUUUUGUGACUGGGAUACCGAGGAUCACAAAACGAGGUGUGAAGUAACCAUGCAAAUCACUUGGUACCCUUAAAGUUUAUCACUCAAUCGAUGUGCCGGUUAACCACACACGCUCCAUCGAUACUAUAAUAAACCCUAAGUCACCCUUUACCUACCUUGUUAAGUCCAAGUUAGUGUGCCGGUUAACCACACACGCUCCACCAACGACUUAAUCAAAGUGUAAAGUGUAAUUUCAUGGAAUAGCACCUUAUUCACAUUUUUCCUAAAGUAACUAAGAUUGGGAAUUUAAUAAAACAUUUAGUUACUUUAUAAUAUUCAUCAUACUUUGAAUGAGAAUUAAUAAGUCCUUGUCUUACCCGUUCGGCUAACGACCCUCCACCGAUCAAGCAAGCGGUGGGUGAGAGUGGACACCCAUUAAGUCACCAUUUUAUAGGCAACAACCUUAUACCCACCUUAUAGACCGGCUUCGUGAAUGAGGCGUACUAGCGGUAAGACGACUUUGUUCUUAUACAUAUAUAUAUAAUUAUUAAAUCAUAAUAAUAUAAGUAUAAGGGUUGAAUUUUAACUUUUAAAAUUCUAGGGGUUGGAACUAAAGUUUUAACUUAACUUUACUUGUUCCAAAACUUGAGGGCAAGUUUUGUAAACUUUCAAAACUUUUCAUUUCUUGUAACUUAUGAGUUUAAUAGAGUAAUAAAAUGAGGACUUUUCAUUUUUCCUAACUCUUGUGUUCUUUUAAUGGUUUUUAAUCCAAGAGACUUUUGGUUUUCCAUAACUUGAGGACAAGUUAUGGACUCCAUUAAAACACAUUAUGAUCAUGAAUUAAUCUACCACAUAGGUUACAAAUAAUUCCUAUGAUCAUCUAAACAUCAUAAGAACAAGAAUAUGAAUAUGAACACUUUCAAGAAUCAAAAUCACAUUUAAUCUUUGUAAUUUUGAUAACUAGUUGUUGUAAAUGAGUUAGAAAAGACAUUACACCUUCUAAAAUAAGUUUUCAAGUACCAAAACAUUUUAGGGUAAUGAUUCUAAUCCAUUUCCAGCAACUCAAGUCGAAAUUCUGCACUCUGUCGACCCUACUCGCCGAGUGCAUAAACCUACUCGCCGAGUAGGUUGAAGAUACACAUGAACUCGACGAGUCCUCCCCAUGGACUCGCCGAGUCCAUCAGUCAGACAGCAAGAUUUUCGACUUUCUUCAACUUUUAAGCACAAAUAACAAACAAACAAGCCUAGGCUCUGAUACCACUGAUGGGUUUUGAGCAUUCUAACACUUCCUAAGUGUACAUGCAACCCUAAUAACCUUGGAUCUAUGUUUGUCUAAUUAUCAUGCAAAGUUGAAUUCCAAGGUUAUAUUCCUAUCUAGCAUACAUGGGGAACAAUUUUAACUUGAAUCAUAGAUAGAAUAACUUACCUUGUUGUUGCUUGUGUUCCUUGAAACCUUGUGAGCCUAGCACCCCAAGUGUGAUGCCUCAAAUGCUUCACACAACACCAAAUGCUCUUGGAAAGACUCUUGAGAUAACACACACUUCUCAAAAUCGGCCAAGCCCUCUAGUUUCUUAGUGUAGCCGAUUUUGGUGGAGAAUAUGAUUCUUAUAUAGUGUUGACACAUCUAGGGUUACACCAUGUAAACCCUAAUGUGUCAUGACUCUUCAUUUCCAUGACCCAUGGGUUUGUAACUCCCAUGGAGCAUCCAUGGAGCAUCCUAUGGGUAGAACCCAACUUGAUAAUCCAUGGAGCCUCUUAGCCCACUAUACAAGAUAUGGAUGAUUUACAUAAUCAACCCAUAUAUUUAAUUAGUUAUCCUUUGAUCACUUAAUUAAUUCCAAAUUAAUUCUUUGAUCAACUAAUCAAAUAAUAUUAUUAAUAUAUUAGAACUUAUAAUAUAUUAAUAAUCUCCAAGUGUUAUUUCUCUCAUUUAGUCUAUCCAAUUGCAUGGUGCCAUGCAACCCAAAUGGACCAUGCCGGGUCGGGUCAAGUACAAGCCCGAAAUAGUUAUGGACUUAGACACCUUAUCCAACAGUCUCCCACUUGGAUAAGUCUAAUAACUAUAUCUCUAGUACUUCAGGAACCGACCGGCAAUCGUAGCUCUUUCAAGGUCUCUCGGAACUGAGAAGAUGAUGGUACGCCAUUUAAGAUAAGUGAUCAUAUAAUCCUCCGUUCUAGAUAUCAGCCGGACAAAUACAUGGAACAUUGUCUUGCUUAUUGUCCAGCAUUUGUUUCCCGAUUUCCGAUUUGUUUGACAUAGAACUUAAUUGAACACAUCAACUUAGUUCUGACCGGGCCCGGUACAUGGGUCAAAACAAAAUCAUCGAGGGGCCCAGAUAUCAGCUUCUAAUCCAAGAAGGAACAGAUAAACUUCGACUCAUAUGUUUGUUCUACCACUCAUUGAAUUACACACAAAAGUACGUUUUAUAACAUCGAGUUACCAAUGCGGUUUCGUACAGUCAAUGCAUAACCAACUUGUAAGUAACAAAUCAUAUCUCUAGGUUUGAAGACUUAUAUGAUAUUACCGUCUCACGAUCACUCGAGAUAGAAUUCCAUGAAGUGAUUCCAGUGAGCGUGGGUUGAGUCCAAUGCUCAGAACUUAUGAGCACUCAUGAUUGUUGUAGCCUUGUCCAACACCUUAGACCUCUACAACCCAUCAUGACAGUCUUGAUUCAUACCUACUUCCGACAUAUGACCGACUGUGGAGGUUUGAAUAAUAUGUUACACCAAACAAAAUUAUUCUGGAAGUCAAAACAUGCAAAAGAAAUAUAGUAAACGAUUGACAAGAGAUAGCAACACUUUACUCAUAAAUAAAACACCUUUUAUUCAUCAUCAAAUGUCAAUUACACUUUACAAAUUUCUGGGUUAUCUAACUACUAAAACUUAUAUCAUCCUUCAGCCCUAUGCUCCGAGCAUGCUGGAGAUGCUUAACCCUACUCAGUCCCUUCGUGAGGGGAUCUGCUGGGUUCUCAUCCGAUGAUACCCUCUUUGCCACGAGGAGUCCUUCUUCGAUCCGAUGUCUAAUGAAAUGGUAUUUUCUGUCGAUGUGUCUGGAUCUCCCAUGAUCCCUUGGUUCCUUGGCUAAGGCAACAGCACUUUCACUAUCACAGAAAAUUUCCAUUGGCUCUUUAAUAGCUGGUACAACUCCAAGGUCUCCAAUGAAGUUCUUCAGCCAUAUCGCCUCCUUUGCUGCUUCGCUAGCUGCAAUAUACUCUGAUUCACAAGUAGAAUCUGCCACUGUCUCUUGCUUGGAACUCUUCCAAGAAAUUGCUCCUCCGUUUAGGGUAAAGACCCAGCCCGACUGAGAGCGGAAAUUAUCCCUAUCAGUCUGGAAGCUAGCAUCACUAUACCCUACAACUCUCAAGUCAUCACUCCCACCGAGGGUAAGGACCCAGUCCUUAGUCCUCCGUAGGUACUUGAGGAUAUUCUUUACCGCAGUCCAGUGUGCCUUGCCAGGGUUCGCCUGAUACCUGCUAACCAUGCUCAAGGCAAAAGCUACAUCGGGUCGAGUACACGUCAUAGCAUACAUGAUCGAUCCUACAGCCGAAGCGUAAGGUGUUCGACUCAUUUCUGCUAUCUCAGCCUCAGUGCUAGGGCUUUGUGUCUUACUCAAUCUGGUGUUACUCUGGAUGGGUAACUCUCCUUUCUUGGAAUCCUGCAUGCUGAAUCUCUUCAGCACUUUAUCCAAGUAGGUACUCUGACUAAGUCCAAUUAGUCUUUUACUCCGAUCUCUCAAGAUCCUUAUCCCUAGAAUAUAGGCAGCUUCACCAAGGUCCUUCAUAGCGAAACACUUCCCAAGCCAGGACUUUACUUCCUGCAGGGUUGGAAUGUCGUUUCCUAUGAGUAGUAUGUCAUCCACAUACAAUACCAAAAAGCUAACUAUACUCCCACUAGCCUUGACAUACACACAAGAUUCAUCUUCACUCCUAGAAAAGCCAAAUUCCUUGACCUUUUCAUCAAAGCAAAGAUUCCAUCUGCGAGGUGCUUGCUUCAAUCCAUAAAUGGAUUUCUCAAGCUUACACACUCUAUUAGGGUACUCGUUGCUGACAAAACCCUCUGGCUGACUCAUGUAAACAUCUUCAGCCAACUUUCCAUUAAGGAAAGCGGUUUUGACAUCCAUUUGCCAUAUUUCAUAGUCAUGAAAUGCAGCUAUGGCUAACAGAACCCGAAUAGACUUAAUCUUGGCUACUGGAGAAAAGGUCUCAUCAUAGUCCACUCCAGGAAUUUGAGAGAAGCCCUUUGCAACCAGUCUAGCCUUAUAAGUGUGUACUUUACCAUCCAUGUCGGUCUUCUUCUUGAAGACCCAUUUGCACCCUACAGUCUUACGACCAGGUACAUUCUCAACCAAGUUCCAAACUUGAUUGUCAUACAUGGAUUGUAUCUCGCUAUCCAUGGCCUCUUUCCAUUUAGCAGCCUCAGGGCCUGCCAUGGCUUCCGUGUAGCUGUUAGGUUCAUCCAGACCUACUAGUGUCUCAUCACUAAUAAGUGUCUCACCUUCCGCAGUAAUAUGGAAACCAUAGUAAUGCUCAGGUGCAUUCCUAACUCUCGUGGAACGCCUCAGAGGUACAGGCUCGUCAACUGGCUCAACAGGAGUUUCCUCCUCAAGUUGAGGGCUAGUGUUUGAAGUUCCUUCACCGCUUGAUUCUUGAAUUUCUUCAAGAUCAAUUUGCCUCCCACUGUCUCCUUGGCUUAUAAAUUCUCUCUCUCGAAAGACUCCUCUUCUUGCUACAAAGACCACAUUGUCACUAGGUCUGUAGAAGAGGUAACCAAAGGAUCGCUGUGGGUAACCGAUGAAAAUACACCUCUCGCUUCGAGGUUCGAGCUUAUCAUGAGUCUCGCGUCUCACGAAAGCCUCGCAACCCCAAAUCUUGAUGUGGUCUAGUUUAGGUACUUUACCAGUCCACAUCUCGUGAGGAGUUUUGGCAACUUUCUUUGUAGGGACUAGAUUAAGGAUAUGGGCGGCAGUCUCUAAGGCAUACCCCCAAAAUGAGAUUGGUAGCGAAGCUCGACUCAUCAUGGAAUGAACCAUAUCCAACAAGGUUCGAUUACGCCUCUCAGCCACACCAUUCAACUGUGGUGUCCUGGGAGGUGUCAAUUGUGAGACUAUCCCACAUUCCCUUAGAUAGUCAAGGAACUCUGAACUAAGAUACUCACCACCACGAUCGG
Molecule: long non-coding RNA, 8307 nt
Filed under: Lactuca sativa (garden lettuce)
Lineage: Eukaryota; Viridiplantae; Streptophyta; Magnoliopsida; Asterales; Asteraceae
Description: long non-coding RNA (LSAT_LNC004846)
Source: RNAcentral